This 388-nucleotide ribosomal RNA is filed under the name uncultured bacterium. Its description in RNAcentral is "bacterial SSU rRNA". It matches the Rfam family "Bacterial small subunit ribosomal RNA", at positions 355 to 759 of the family's 1533-position model. The record is from RNAcentral.
UAGGGAAUAUUGCAAAAUGGGCGAAAGCCCGAUGCAGCAACGCCGCGUGGGCGAUGAAGGCCUUCGGGUCGUAAAGCCCUUUUUGAGGGGAUGAGGAAGGACAGUACCCUCAGAAUAAGCCUCGGCUAACUACGUGCCAGCAGCCGCGGUAAAACGUAGGAGGCGAGCGUUAUCCGGAUUUACUGGGCGUAAAGCGCGUGCAGGCGGAUUGGAGAGUUGGAUGUGAAAGCCACCGGCUUAACUGGGAGAGGUCGUUCAAUACUUCCAGACUUGAGUGCAGAAGAGGGAAGUGGCAUUCCGGGUGUAGGCGUGAAAUACGUAGAAAUCCGGAGGAACACCAGUGGCGAAAGCGGCUUCCGGGACUGUAACCGACGCUCAGACGCGAAAG